Molecule: ribosomal RNA, 1126 nt
Filed under: Rossellomorea aquimaris
Lineage: Bacteria; Bacillati; Bacillota; Bacilli; Caryophanales; Bacillaceae
Description: bacterial SSU rRNA
Rfam family: Bacterial small subunit ribosomal RNA
Source: RNAcentral
GGGGGGGCUAUACAUGCAAGUCGAGCGGACUGAUGGGAGCUUGCUCCCAUCAGUCAGCGGCGGACGGGUGAGUAACACGUGGGUAACCUGCCUGUAAGACUGGGAUAACUCCGGGAAACCGGGGCUAAUACCGGAUAACUCAUUUCCUCGCAUGAGGAAAUGUUGAAAGAUGGCUUCUGGUAUCACUUACAGAUGGACCCGCGGCGCAUUAACUAAUUGGUGAGGGAACGGGUCACCAAGGGGACCAUGCGUAGCCCACCUGAGAGGGUGAUCGGCCACCCUGGGACUGAAACACGGGCCAAACUCCUACCGGAGGGAGCAGUAGGGAAUCUUCCGCAAUGGACGAAAGUCUGACGGAACAACCCCGCGUGAGUGAUGAAGGGUUUCGGAUCGUAAAACUCUGGUGGUAGGGAAAAACAAGUACCGUUCCAAUAAGGCGGGACCUUGACGGUACCUAACCAGAAAGCCACCGCUAACUACCUGCCAACAGCCGCGGUAAUACCUAAGGGGCAAGCGGUGGCCGGAAUUAUUGGGCGGAAAGCGCGCGCAGGUGGUUUCUUAAGUCUGAUGGGAAAGCCCACGGCUCAACCGUGGAGGGUCAUUGGAAACUGGGGAACUUGAUUGCAGAAGAAGAAAGUGGAAUUCCCAGUGGAACGGUGAAAUGCGUAGAUAUUUGGAGGAACACCAGUGGCGAAGGGGACUUUCUGGUCUGGAACUGACACUGAAGGGCGAAAGCGUGGGGAACAAACAGGAUUAGAUACCCUGGUAGUCCCCCCCGUAAACCAUGAAUGCUAAGUGGUAGAGGGUUUCCGCCCUUUAAUGCUGCAGCUAACGCAUUAAGCACUCCGCCUGGGGAAUACGGUCGCAGACUUGAAACUCAAAGGAAUUGGACCGGGGCCCCCACAAGCGGUGGAGCAUGUGGUUAAUUCGAAGCAACGCGGAAAACUUACCAGUCUUGACAUCUCUUGACAACCCUAGAGAUAGGGCUUCCCUUCGGGGAAAGAUGACAGUGUGCAUGAUGUCGUCAGCUCUGUCUGAAAUGGUGGUAGUCCGCACGAGCGCACUGAUCUAGUUGCCAGCAUUCAGUUGGACUUAAAUGACUGCGUGAACAAACCGUAAGUAAUGU